Molecule: ribosomal RNA, 258 nt
Filed under: uncultured Eubacteriales bacterium
Lineage: Bacteria; Bacillati; Bacillota; Clostridia; Eubacteriales
Description: uncultured Clostridiales bacterium partial 16S ribosomal RNA
Rfam family: Bacterial small subunit ribosomal RNA
Source: RNAcentral
UGAAGUAGAGGACAGUGGCGGACGGGUGAGUAACGCGUGAGGAACCUGCCUUUCAGAGGGGGACAACAGUUGGAAACGACUGCUAAUACCGCAUAAGCGCACAGCAUCGCAUGAUGCAGUGUGAAAAACUCCGGUGGUAUAAGAUGGACCUGCGGUGCAUUAGCUAGUUGGUGAGAUAACAGCCCACCAAGGCGACGAUCAGUAGCCGGACUGAGAGGUUGACCGGCCACAUUGGGACUGAGAUACGGCCCAGACUCC